AUGGCAUUUCAUAUAAAACCGGCACAUCGGGUGGAAGACGAAGUAAUCCCUUGGCUUGUAUGUCCUCCUGAUACUGUGUUUGCUGUGUUGUCGCCUAUGAAAGACACUUCCGGGUAGCAAAUUGUUGAUCUACCGAAGGUCUUGGCUGGAAUACGCUGUGUGCGCGUUGUCAUCGCCUCUUGGAAUACGAGUUGAGGUUCGUAUGUGGGGGAAGUAACCAGGGAGUCCCAUUUCCAUUUAUGUUGAGUGUUGCAUUCCUAGAGGUGGCAGCCACUAUCUCUCUCUCUGGCUGGUCUAGGGUGUCUAAUCUGUAUCGUCCCAUAUUAUUCUGAGAACCAAGC
Carassius auratus (goldfish) is the source of this 341-nucleotide long non-coding RNA. RefSeq lists it as uncharacterized. NCBI's taxonomy places the organism in Eukaryota, Metazoa, Chordata, Actinopteri, Cypriniformes, Cyprinidae. The record is from RefSeq and is a predicted model, not a curated record. The transcript has 3 exons.